This 89-nucleotide transfer RNA is filed under the name Cereibacter sphaeroides WS8N. RNAcentral's name for it is "tRNA-Thr (GGT) (tRNA-Thr-GGT-2-1)". Lineage: Bacteria; Pseudomonadati; Pseudomonadota; Alphaproteobacteria; Rhodobacterales; Paracoccaceae. The record is from RNAcentral.
GUAGCGCAUCAGACAUCACGGACGAUGAUAGGACGCACACUCCCUUGGUAAGGGAGAGGUCGAGAGUUCAAUCCUCUCCUGCAGCACCA